UGAAUAACCGGAUAAAAUUUAUUUUCACUUACUCUAAAAAUUUAUCAAUUUUGAUCACAUUAAAGAUGGAUUAAGUUAGUUUAGCCAUAUUACUGAGUGCCACAAGAAAUAUAAAUAGUAGUGGAACUCGUUCAGCUCUUGACUGUUCAGAGCCACCAUUGAAAGGUUGGAAAAAGUGAUUUAAUAGGCGCUUAGUCUUUUCCUGGAAAAUGUAAAAGUAUAUAACCAGCAAUUGAAUACAUCUCUUGAUAUGGCAGCAAAUGUUUUGCCUUCAGCAAUCAAUAAAACUUAUUCUUGAGAACGACUGCUCUAGUUUGAAUCCAUUUUAAUUUUACUGCAACGGUAAAAACUAUCGUCUAUAACAGGGAUGGCCAAGCUUCAUGUCACUAAGAGCCAUUUAGGAGAAUCUGAAAUAAUUGAGAGCCGCAAUCAGUUUCUUUCUAGAUCAAUAAGACUCUUACCAGUUUUUUCUGGUAAUCUAACAAUAAAUACAAUAUAUCUUAUACAAUGUAUAUUACUUUUUGCAAUAAAUAAACAAAUUACAAAAAUAUUAUUUUUUUUAGUUAAAUAGGUAUUUGCUCUAUAUUAACUAUUGACUUU
RNAcentral lists this long non-coding RNA (600 nucleotides) under Androctonus crassicauda. The record is from RNAcentral. Lineage: Eukaryota; Metazoa; Arthropoda; Arachnida; Scorpiones; Buthidae.